CUGCCAAAGCUGCUUGUGUUUGGUGAUGGUUAUUGUACCUGAACUACAUGGAGCUGUUGGAAGAGUAAUGAUCACACUCCACAAUGGACUAUACAGUUGUAGUUCAUCACUGAAAUGUGGUCAACAAA
RNAcentral lists this small nucleolar RNA (128 nucleotides) under Sphenodon punctatus (tuatara). Its description in RNAcentral is "Small nucleolar RNA SNORA4 (ENSSPUG00000014205.1)". The record is from RNAcentral. Lineage: Eukaryota; Metazoa; Chordata; Lepidosauria; Sphenodontia; Sphenodontidae.